Molecule: non-coding RNA, 71 nt
Filed under: unclassified sequences
Description: S4-Clostridia ribosomal protein leader
Rfam family: S4-Clostridia ribosomal protein leader
Source: RNAcentral
AAAAGGCUGCGUAAAAUUAUUUUUGCGGCUGGAUAUGUAAAACCCCGUCAGUUUUAUAUAUCUCAAUUAGG